UUUAUCAGAUAACUCUCAGAUUUUAUUUCUCACUCUACGGGUGUCAGAAAAAUAUGAAACCUUAAAUCUAGCCUUAUAAAAAUAUUUCUGACUUAUCCUCCAAUUUUCAUAAUUUUCUGAGACUGUGCAUUUUCUGCUAAUUUAUCUGUCCCGUUUCCAACAGAAAAUUCUAAAUCUUCUGUUUUCAUUCCGAUUUCGGCACAAGUCACUUCUGAUUUAUGUUUUACUUCUAUAAAUCCAAUAAAAAUAGUUUCUCACACUAUUUUUAUUUAUUUUUAUUUUUAUACCAAAAUCUAGUAUGUUACAUUCUCCACCCCUUAAAAGAAUUUCGUCCGCGAAAUUCAAACCACGCCUCAAUUCAGCUCCGCGAGCAAUUGAGGGUACCGACUCAUUCUCCCACUCUAGAACGGCUUCACACUAUCGUGGUUCCAGAAGCGGCUCAUACUGAAGGACGUGGGUUUAAUCCUAAACACAUUUGCAAAAUGUGAUACAAAAGUGCAUCACGAGUCUUGCAAGUCAUAAAGGCAGCGCAAGUCGAUACUCGACGACUCUACGCACUCCAACACCACUCACCAUUCGGUAUACAAAGAACUCUUCUUUGCACUGGCCUUCCCUUUUGGGAAUACAUUCCAAUUCGAUCACCGACAUUGCUUAGAAGCAAUAUCACCGGUGCAUCACUCCGUCGUGAGUGCUCUAAUUUCGCGCUGACCCUUAAAUUUAACUCAAGAUGGCCCACUUCGGCACAUCUCAAGUCUCAGUUUGCUUACAAGCAUAGCCUCCAACAUCACGUGGCCUUCCACUAGAUCAAUGUCUCACAAGGAGUACUUCAUCAUCUGAUACUACAUGCCACGAUUAACAUCGAACUAUUUUAGCAACGAGCUCACACGAACGCUUCGUUCGUGAAUUCGAGUCAGACUCCUCGAUAAGGCUAUCUGCCAAAUCGCUUUCUUCGGUCUCCACAGGUGGACCAUAGGCCAUCAAUCCUACAUAGGCCUACCGCCUAAACCUGUCUCACUACGCAGCGUCUCUCGCUCGCAAAUGCAGACCCAAUCAUGAUCGGGCGAAAUUCUCACUUGGGAAUUCGCACACACUCCAACCAGGAGCAACUAAGAUCCCAAACCGUUACAGAUCCCCGCGUUGGGUCACACUCGUACUCUCGGUAUUUCUAUCAAUCGCACCACAUACCCUACCGAGUCACACGUACCACUACCGGCUACUAUACACCUAAUGCGAGUCACCAGUCCCAUGAGUGAUCCAUGGCACGCUUCGCACCUAGCAAUGCUUAAGUGCUACUGCCAACUCACUCGCUUGACUGAACCAUAUCCGCACUCCACGAGUAUCUAUACUCGAACGUCAUACGCCUCUAUGGUGUUCCACACUAAGUCCAGUGUUAGGCAAUUCUUGCCUAUGCACGCCAACUACACAAGCACGACCCUCCUACCUCACAUUGAGGUGCUACUAGGCCUAUGUGCUUGCACUUGUUUACUAACCAACUACUCCCUCAACAGUGAUUCUACUUUCACUGUUCGACCUAUCGAAAUGACAUCCGAAAUUCCCGGAUUACUCGGGUGUCCUUAAAUAUCACGACUCAACUCUCGCAAUCUACUAAUUAAGUUGCUCUGAGAGUCGAUUAACCACCUCUGUCUCUACCGCGAGUUUCACUUCUCGCCGAAGGUCACUACUAGCACUUCGCUAGUGCCAUCUUGCUCUAUACCUAUACUGGCAGGUACUACGCCCUCACAACACGAGCAUGCUCGGGUAUCUAUACUCACCCGUCCAUUCGGUCUUCACUAUGCUCAUGCACGGCAAUAGUAAUUAACCGCAUAACCAUUGCAUGCAAUGCAUCAACUUUACAUUCUACAGAAGCCUAUGCUUGCUUCAAUUAACUCAUACCUACCAUAGUAUCGUCGAUAACAGCAGGUUUCACAACCCGGUUCGCAUAUCCACGGCCUCUUGGGGCCCGCGGCGAACCCUCCGGUUGUCACCUCCUCACCACUCGUUCUCCAGACCAUUCUGUGGAUGUCACACCCACAAGCUGUCUCGGAGAGGAAGAGGCUAUCACCCACGUCACGACCCGGCAAUCGCCCACACGAAUGCCCAUCUCAUCACGCAGCACACACUGCUACGCCUGGUGAGAACUUCUACAUCCCGCAUCCCAAGGAGGUUAAUAGAAGACACCUCCGAGGUUCAGGAUUGCAAUUGCACUCAAGAAUGUGCACUGCCCAUACUGGGCAAUUUCGAGCUACGGGGACCGGUCUCUCCCUGCCAGGGACCGGUCCCCGAGGGCAAUCUCCGCCAAGUGCAGACUUUGCACUAAUUGCUCUCGUGGACUCCAACUCUAACGCACUUUUGGUGAUUUAAAUAUCUUCGGCUUUUCCGAAGCACACCAACACGACCCUUGGUCGAUUCUAAGCGAAGUCUAACUCUCGUAUUUCGAGAAUUCACUUCCUUAUAUGCACAACCUCGACCACGUCCGGCCAAGGUCUUCGCAGAGGCACAUCGGCCAAUUCCUCGUCAUCCCGCACUACGUUCGGGACACAACUCACGAUACGAGAGAAUUCCUACUUGUAUUCCCUCACGGCACGGUUUACCUGCCGUAGCUUCGGGAACCUUUCCUGAAGCUUUUCUUUCUCAGCAUUGGGAAAGUAAACAGGGAAUAUUAAUCCCCGAAACUCAUCCCGAAUCACAGGAGGAAAACUAGGCAAUCGAUUCCGUCGAAUGCCUUUCCACCACACCUUCGCCGAUUGUUUGCAAGCAACGCACAGCUAGGUGUAUCCUCUCACUCUACAGUGCACAGGUCCCCAAAGGGAGUCUCUAUGAAGUCGAUCCACAACUCCACGACUAACGGAUCCGUAUUCUCUCCAUCAAAGGCAGACGGAUUUAAUAGCUUAAAGGUCAUGAGGGCCACCGAAGCUCGGUCUUUCACCGCUUUCGCUUCUGAAGUACUAGAAGUCGGACUGCUCGAACCCGACAGAAAUACUUCCGUCGCAACUCCCGGUCGUACUCGACGAACGGCAGCUGGUAUAGCCACCAGUUGAUCUAUCGCUUCCUGGAGUCUUCUCAUUUGCUCCUUCUGGGAUACGGCAGCUUCCUGCUGACGCCGCACUAAUUCGGCUCGUCACCCCGCCACUCACACGAGAGUGGACAAUCGCUCACGAAGUCCCAAGUCUCCGUUCACUUCGGAUUGCUCAGGGACGACACUCGUCCCAUCCCGUGCCAAUCUACAUGAAGAUCGCCUACGCAGUUCCAUCGCUUCCCAAGACGCGACAGCUCGAUCGAUUCUCGAUCCUCAAAGUCGAGCGCGAAACAACUGACAUCGACUCAAAUCGGGCGAAAGUCACGCAAGGGUAUCUAUUCUCAACACUCGGUUUCAUGUUGUGUCGACCCAACAUGAACACCCUCGGUUGAGAACAAACCACACCUCGAGUCUACCUCUAAUAUCCGUUAUAGAGGCUUCAACACUGACCCAAUCGAUUAAUCUUUCGCCAUAAGCCAUAAGUCCUCGUCUCUCACGAGCCUUAUUCUCCUAUGGUUUACUAUCCUAGGGUCUUCUAGGUCUGCCUAAACCAUUCAUAUUCUCUACUUUAUUCUCUGAUACCAUCUUAUCUGUCAAGCCCCGCGACCACCCGCCUAUUUGGCCGGGUCGCGGCGCCGCAACAGACCGCCGAACGGACAGGGUUUCCCCUGUACCGCGGACAGAGUCUCCCCUAUACAUUCAAGGCGUCGCAAUCAAUACAAUGUACAAAGUUCCAACCAGGAACACAUUUCAAUCAAAGAUUGCAUAAUGGAAGGUAUCAAACAACAUAACACAUCCUAUAUUAUUACAUGCAUUCACAUUCAUACAUUUUACAUCCCAAAUACUUAUUACAUUUAACUUCCAAAUACAAUCCGAUUUAACAUGGUUAUUACAAUCUUAUUCCUUUCAUUUUCUUACUUCCCUAAGUAAAGCCGACUCAGGGUACCGCUAUCUCUGGUCUCGGUGGUAGGGCGCUAACUAUGAUGCUACGCCCUCGCCUCGCGCCGCCGCGCCGCUCACGUGUGAACCUGUAACACCCCAAAACCACGUGGGGUGAGAACCAACUCCAUGGUUCCCAGUGGGUACGGCCACCCAAGGGAAAAGCUCGACCAAUAGGUCCAAGGGAGGCAACUGCAAGUUAGUUCAAUAAACAGAUAGAUAUAUAUCUUGAUUAUGCAACGAAUAAAACCAUGCAUUGCCUCACGAAUGCAAUAAUGUAAUGCUAUAUGCAAAUCAUGCAAUAAUGCAACUAUGCAACCAACUAGUAGUUCAUUCGAUACUACUUUCAAUUCUGCUAACCAUAGCUCAUCCAUUUGAUAUUUAAGGUUUCCUCUAUCUUAGAUUCUUGUCAAUCACCGUUUUAAUCAUAAGGUUUCAUCUUCCUUUACAAGGCUAACCACCCGACUCGGUCUUGAGUCAAUCGUCUGCGGAGUACCGCACUAGAACCAGGCUCGAGGCGAUGGACGUCUCACAUACACCUCAGCCCUAGAUCCUCUCGACUAGGAUACCAAAUCCAUAACUCAUAAUGCAUACUUGUUGUACACUCAUUUGGCUAUGACCCAAUCUUACCGGUUAACCAUGUUAACCCCAAUAACUCACAACCAAAUCCCUUAAUAACGGGGGACUCGAACCUCCCUAGGGACCGUCAACUGGUGGGACUUUACCACGCCCAGUGGUGACCAACUCCGGAGCGCACCGCCCGAGGGGGAGCUACCUCCCUCAAGCCAAGACUUAUCGUGAGUAUCGAUCCAAUCCUCAACUUGAGGAUUCAUAGCCACUCGUCACAAUGCCAAUGUCAUGAUAGGUCUCUACCUAUUUAAUCAUGCCACUCUCUAUGUCAACUUGGACCAAUGUCAAUAUGGUUAAACUAUGUUUAACAAUCACUUUCUUGAUGCCAAUCAUGUCUCUAUUGUCAUUGUCACCCUUGUUUACUAAUGUUCAAGUCCAACUCUCACAUUUACACAAUAAUAGGGUCCUAACAUACAUGAAUGACACCAGAAUAUAUAUGAUCAAUCACCACAAGUGUUUGCUAGGUUCAAGAUGCUAGGUUUAAUGCCACUCGAUCUAAUAUAUAUAUAGAUUGUCCACUAUGUUCCACAACAUGGCAAUAUGUCAUCAAGUAUGUUUUUCUAUUUAACAUAAUCCACAAUAUGUAAAUUCAUAAUAUAUCAUCAUGCACAUAUACCACUAGCAUCACAUGAUUUGUCAACAUACAUAUAGUCAUUAUCCAAAAUAGUCCAUACUUAGCAUCUCAUGCAUUCUUUUAGCACUUAAUUCAUUAUGCAUUACAUUUAGCAUAUUCUACAACAUGUCAUCAUACAUUCCUUUUAUGAUGUUCUUAUAAUGCUAACAUUCAUACGCCCUUUAUAUUAUGCAUUCAAAGCAUUAAUCAUAUGCAUUUAUCUAGCAUUUCUAUAGUAUGUUAACAUGCAUUCUUUUCACAUUCUUAUAUUAUGUCAAUAUGCAUCAAUAUGAAAUCUCAUUUCUUAGACAUAAAGGGCGACCUAGUCGCUUCGGUAAGCACAACCCACCUCAUUUCGCAUUCCGAUUGCUUGUCGACACUUGCAAUCGGCCUCCCGCGGCACCCGGCACCCGGUUUGGCCCGAUCUCUCACGCGACCACCCGAACGGCCUCCAAUUCACGAUCCGAAAAUUAAAGGUCUUCGGUUAUGUGCCACGAUGCUUCAAAUCCAUUUUCAUGAAUUUACGAUAUCGCCUCGGCCCUCCCGGCGGACCCGAAGCCUAAACGUCCAUUUCUUUAAUAACUUUGUAACGGCUCGUCGGAUUGCCGAACCGUCUUCGCCAACGCGUUCGUUUACCUAGCAAUUUGGUUUACGGAGGGUCAAAUGAGAUCAAACCCUCAUAUUUUGAAAGUUUGCAUUUUGAGCCCUAGGUUUACAACUAUGCAAGAAAUCAUUAAAUUGCUCUAUGAUUCAAGCAUUAAUCAUCUAUUAGGCAUCAAUGGGUUCCACUAAAACCAUUUCCAAAGCAUUUAGACCUAUCUUUAGAGAUCUACCAUUAAAGCCCUCAUUUUGGAGCUCUAGGUUUCAAUAGGUAAAAAUCCACCAUUAGAGCCUUGAUUUCAAGCAUCAAACCUCUAAUUAGCAUGCUAGAAUACCUCUAAAUCCAUUCUUAGAGCUUAAAAACCAAACUAGAGAGAAAUGCCAUUAAAGGGUUUGAAGCUUACCUUCAAAGCUUGCUCUAAUGGAGAGGAAGAAGAUAGAGAAGAUGAAAAUCCAUCCUUGAGCUUCAAUCUCCACCAAAACCCUCUCUUUUUGGGAGAGAUUUAGAGAGAGAAAGGGAGAUCUCUCUCUCCCUCCAUGUAUGCGUGUGUGUGUGUGUCGUGUGCGUGUGUGGUGUGCGGCCGAAGGAGAAGAAGAAGCAACAGCUUCUUAAUAAUACCCCCAAGACACUAUUCACUCUCGGGCAGCUUGAAAUCUGAUAACUUUCGCCGGAGCUCCCUGAAUGUCCGUUUGAGCUCAAACUUGACAGUCAUGUUCGGUUUUACUUAACUUAACAAGCUGACGAUCGCUGGUUCAGUUUCGACCCCGUUUGGUCACUGAAAACUGUACCGAACUGUAAUCUUUAUCAGAUAGCUGUCGGAUUUUAUUUCUCACUCUACGGGUGUCAGAAAAAUAUGAAACCUUAAAUCUAGCCUCAUAAAAAUAUUUCUGACAUCUCUGCCAAUUUUCAUAAUUUUCUGAGACUGUGCAUUUUCUGCUAAUUUAUCUGUCCCGUUUCCAACAGAAAAUUCUAAAUCUUCUGUUUUCAUUCCGAUUUCGGCACAAGUCACUUCUGAUUUAUGUUUUACUUCUAUAAAUCCAAUAAAAAUAG
Molecule: long non-coding RNA, 6849 nt
Filed under: Ananas comosus (pineapple)
Lineage: Eukaryota; Viridiplantae; Streptophyta; Magnoliopsida; Poales; Bromeliaceae
Description: long non-coding RNA (ACOM_LNC037712)
Source: RNAcentral